GAUUGCAAUAAUUUCUUCUCUGCAAUCGCGGCUG
Bacteroides thetaiotaomicron VPI-5482 is the source of this 34-nucleotide regulatory RNA element. It matches the Rfam family "S4-Bacteroidia ribosomal protein leader". Lineage: Bacteria; Pseudomonadati; Bacteroidota; Bacteroidia; Bacteroidales; Bacteroidaceae. The record is from Rfam.